AGAGUUUGAUCCUGGCUCAGGAUGAACGCUAGCUACAGGCUUAACACAUGCAAGUCGAGGGGAAACGACAUCGAAAGCUUGCUUUCGAUGGGCGUCGACCGGCGCACGGGUGAGUAACGCGUAUCCAACCUGCCCACCACUUGGGGAUAACCUUGCGAAAGUAAGACUAAUACCCAAUGAUAUCUCUAGAAGACAUCUGAAAGAGAUUAAAGAUUUAUCGGUGAUGGAUGGGGAUGCGUCUGAUUAGCUUGUUGGCGGGGUAACGGCCCACCAAGGCGACGAUCAGUAGGGGUUCUGAGAGGAAGGUCCCCCACAUUGGAACUGAGACACGGUCCAAACUCCUACGGGAGGCAGCAGUGAGGAAUAUUGGUCAAUGGACGAGAGUCUGAACCAGCCAAGUAGCGUGCAGGAUGACGGCCCUAUGGGUUGUAAACUGCUUUUAUAAGGGAAUAAAGUGAGUCUCGUGAGGCUUUUUGCAUGUACCUUAUGAAUAAGGACCGGCUAAUUCCGUGCCAGCAGCCGCGGUAAUACGGAAGGUCCGGGCGUUAUCCGGAUUUAUUGGGUUUAAAGGGAGCGUAGGCCGGAGAUUAAGCGUGUUGUGAAAUGUAGAUGCUCAACAUCUGCACUGCAGCGCGAACUGGUUUCCUUGAGUACGCACAAAGUGGGCGGAAUUCGUGGUGUAGCGGUGAAAUGCUUAGAUAUCACGAAGAACUCCGAUUGCGAAGGCAGCUCACUGGAGCGCAACUGACGCUGAAGCUCGAAAGUGCGGGUAUCGAACAGGAUUAGAUACCCUGGUAGUCCGCACGGUAAACGAUGGAUGCCCGCUGUUGGUCUGAAUAGGUCAGCGGCCAAGCGAAAGCAUUAAGCAUCCCACCUGGGGAGUACGCCGGCAACGGUGAAACUCAAAGGAAUUGACGG
RNAcentral lists this ribosomal RNA (918 nucleotides) under uncultured bacterium. Its description in RNAcentral is "bacterial SSU rRNA". It matches the Rfam family "Bacterial small subunit ribosomal RNA", at positions 8 to 916 of the family's 1533-position model. The record is from RNAcentral.